This 391-nucleotide ribosomal RNA is filed under the name uncultured bacterium. RNAcentral's name for it is "bacterial SSU rRNA". It matches the Rfam family "Bacterial small subunit ribosomal RNA", at positions 29 to 423 of the family's 1533-position model. The record is from RNAcentral.
AUUGAACGCUGGCGGCAUGCCUUACACAUGCAAGUCGAACGGCAGCACGGGAGCAAUCCUGGCGGCGAGUGGCGAACGGGUGAGUAAUAUAUCGGAACGUGCCCAGUAGUGGGGGAUAGCCCGGCGAAAGCCGGAUUAAUACCGCAUGAGACCUGAGGGUGAAAGCGGGGGAUCGCAAGACCUCGCGCUAUUGGAGCGGCCGAUAUCAGAUUAGCUAGUUGGUGGGGUAAAGGCCUACCAAGGCAACGAUCUGUAGUUGGUCUGAGAGGACGACCAGCCACACUGGGACUGAGACACGGCCCAGACUCCUACGGGAGGCAGCAGUGGGGAAUUUUGGACAAUGGGCGCAAGCCUGAUCCAGCAAUGCCGCGUGCAGGAAGAAGGCCUCGGU